ACUCCUACGGGAGGCAGCAGUGGGGAAUAUUGCACAAUGGGGCAGCCAAGCCUGAUGCAGCCAUGCCGCGUGUGUGAAGAAGGCCUUCGGGUUGUAAAGCACUUUCAGUCGUGAGGAGUAGUGUAGUUAAUAGCUGCAUUUAUUGACGUUAGCGACAGAAGAAGCACCGGCUAACUCCGUGCCAGCAGCCGCGGUAAUACGGAGGGUGCGAGCGUUAAUCGGAAUUACUGGGCGUAAAGCGCAUGCAGGUGGUUUGUUAAGUCAGAUGUGAAAGCCCGGGGCUCAACCUCGGAAUUGCAUUUGAAACUGGCAGACUAGAGUACUGUAGAGGGGGGUAGAAUUUCAGGUGUAGCGGUGAAAUGCGUAGAGAUCUGAAGGAAUACCGGUGGCGAAGGCGGCCCCCCU
This 405-nucleotide ribosomal RNA is filed under the name uncultured bacterium. RNAcentral describes it as "bacterial SSU rRNA". It matches the Rfam family "Bacterial small subunit ribosomal RNA", at positions 335 to 731 of the family's 1533-position model. The record is from RNAcentral.